RNAcentral lists this ribosomal RNA (344 nucleotides) under Salmonella enterica subsp. enterica serovar Oranienburg. Its description in RNAcentral is "bacterial SSU rRNA". It matches the Rfam family "Bacterial small subunit ribosomal RNA", at positions 1 to 337 of the family's 1533-position model. Lineage: Bacteria; Pseudomonadati; Pseudomonadota; Gammaproteobacteria; Enterobacterales; Enterobacteriaceae. The record is from RNAcentral.
ACUUAAAUUGAAGAGUUUGAUCAUGGCUCAGAUUGAACGCUGGCGGCAGGCCUAACACAUGCAAGUCGAACGGUAACAGGAAGCAGCUUGCUGCUUCGCUGACGAGUGGCGGACGGGUGAGUAAUGUCUGGGAAACUGCCUGAUGGAGGGGGAUAACUACUGGAAACGGUGGCUAAUACCGCAUAACGUCGCAAGACCAAAGAGGGGGACCUUCGGGCCUCUUGCCAUCAGAUGUGCCCAGAUGGGAUUAGCUGGUAGGUGGGGUAACGGCUCACCUAGGCGACGAUCCCUAGCUGGUCUGAGAGGAUGACCAGCCACACUGGAACUGAGACACGGUCCAGACU